CUACGGGGGGCACCAGUUAGGUAUAAUCUACAAUGCGCGCAAGUGUGAUAGUUUGAGCCAAAGUGCGUUCCACAUGGAAUGCUUUUAUGAAAUGUAAAAAGUUUCACGAAUAAGGACUGGGUAAGACUGGUGCCAGCCGCCGCGGUAAUACCAGCGGUCCAAGUCGCAGCCAUUAUUAUUGGGUCUAAAACAUCCGUAGCUUGCUUAAUAAGUUCCCUGUGAAAUCCAACUUCUUAAGAGUCGGGCGGGCAGGGAGUACUGUUAAGCUAGAGACUGGGAGACGUAAGGAGUACGUUCAAAGUAGCGGUAAAAUGUUUUCAUCUUGAACGGACUAACAAUAGCGAAGGCACCUUACGAGAACAGUUCUGACAGUCAGGGAUGAAGGCUAGGGGCGCAAAACGGAUUAGAUACCCGUGUAGUC
This 421-nucleotide ribosomal RNA is filed under the name uncultured archaeon. RNAcentral's name for it is "partial 16S ribosomal RNA". It matches the Rfam family "Archaeal small subunit ribosomal RNA", at positions 323 to 746 of the family's 1478-position model. The record is from RNAcentral.